RNAcentral lists this non-coding RNA (24 nucleotides) under Arabidopsis thaliana (thale cress). Lineage: Eukaryota; Viridiplantae; Streptophyta; Magnoliopsida; Brassicales; Brassicaceae. The record is from RNAcentral.
AGCACCCGAUCACACCUCCGCAGC